This 253-nucleotide ribosomal RNA is filed under the name uncultured bacterium. Its description in RNAcentral is "partial 16S ribosomal RNA". It matches the Rfam family "Bacterial small subunit ribosomal RNA", at positions 524 to 776 of the family's 1533-position model. The record is from RNAcentral.
UACGGGGGGGGCAAGCGUUGUUCGGAAUUACUGGGCGUAAAGAGCUCGUAGGCGGUUUGUCGCGUCGUCUGUGAAAACUCGAGGCUCAACCUCGAGCUUGCAGGCGAUACGGGCAGACUUGAGUACUGCAGGGGAGACUGGAAUUCCUGGUGUAGCGGUGAAAUGCGCAGAUAUCAGGAGGAACACCGGUGGCGAAGGCGGGUCACUGGCCCGGUACUGACGCUGAGGUGCGAAAGCGUGGGGAGCAAACAGG